CCUUACACAUGCAAGUCGAACGGCAGCGCGGGAGCAAUCCUGGCGGCGAGUGGCGAACGGGUGAGUAAUAUAUCGGAACGUGCCCAGUAGUGGGGGAUAGCCCGGCGAAAGCCGGAUUAAUACCGCAUACGACCUGAGGGUGAAAGCGGGGGAUCGCAAGACCUCGCGCUACUGGAGCGGCCGAUAUCAGAUUAGCUAGUUGGUGGGGUAAAGGCCUACCAAGGCAACGAUCUGUAGUUGGUCUGAGAGGACGACCAGCCACACUGGGACUGAGACACGGCCCAGACUCCUACGGGAGGCAGCAGCGGGGAAUUUUGGACAAUGGGCGCAAGCCUGAUCCAGCAAUGCCGCGUGCAGGAAGAAGGCCUUCGGGUUGUAAACUGCUUUUGUCAGGGAAGAAAUCUUCUGGGCUAAUACCCCGGGAGGAUGACGGUACCUGAAGAAUAAGCACCGGCUAACUACGUGCCAGCAGCCGCGGUAAUACGUAGGGUGCGAGCGUUAAUCGGAAUUACUGGGCGUAAAGCGUGCGCAGGCGGCUUUGCAAGACAGAGGUGAAAUCCCCGGGCUCAACCUGGGAACUGCCUUUGUGACUGCAAGGCUAGAGUACGGCAGAGGGGGAUGGAUUCCGCGUGUAGCAGUGAAAUGCGUAGAUAUGCGGAGGAACACCGAUGGCGAAGGCAAUCCCCUGGGCCUGUA
Molecule: ribosomal RNA, 696 nt
Filed under: uncultured beta proteobacterium
Lineage: Bacteria; Pseudomonadati; Pseudomonadota; Betaproteobacteria
Description: bacterial SSU rRNA
Rfam family: Bacterial small subunit ribosomal RNA
Source: RNAcentral